This 64-nucleotide transfer RNA is filed under the name Ictidomys tridecemlineatus (thirteen-lined ground squirrel). RNAcentral's name for it is "Spermophilus tridecemlineatus (thirteen-lined ground squirrel) tRNA". It matches the Rfam family "tRNA". Rfam says of the family: Transfer RNA (tRNA) molecules are approximately 80 nucleotides in length. Their secondary structure includes four short double-helical elements and three loops (D, anti-codon, and T loops). Further hydrogen bonds mediate the characteristic L-shaped molecular structure. tRNAs have two regions of fundamental functional importance: the anti-codon, which is responsible for specific mRNA codon recognition, and the 3' end, to which the tRNAs corresponding amino acid is attached (by aminoacyl-tRNA synthetases). tRNAs cope with the degeneracy of the genetic code in two manners: having more than one tRNA (with a specific anti-codon) for a particular amino acid; and 'wobble' base-pairing, i.e. permitting non-standard base-pairing at the 3rd anti-codon position. Lineage: Eukaryota; Metazoa; Chordata; Mammalia; Rodentia; Sciuridae. The record is from Rfam by way of RNAcentral.
GGGGAUAUAGCUCAGUUGGUAGAGUGUUUGUCUUACAUGCACAAGGCCAUGGCUGUAAUCCCCA